CCUACGGGAGGCAGCAGUGAGGAAUAUUGGUCAAUGGGCGCGAGCCUGAACCAGCCAAGUCGCGUGAGGGAGGACGGCCCUACGGGUUGUACACCUCUUUUGCCGGGGAGCAACGGGCGUCACGUGUGGCGCCCCUGAGAGUACCCGUAGACAAAGCCUCGGCUAACUCCGUGCCAGCAGCCGCGGUAAUACGGAGGAUUCGAGCGUUCUCCGGAUUUAUUGGGUUUAAAGGGUGCGUAGGCGGAUCGUUAAGUCAGUGGUCAAAUUGAGGGGCUCAACCCCUUCCCGCCAUUGAAACUGGCGGUCUGGAGUGGAAGAGAAGUAUGCGGAAGGCGUGGUGUAGCGGUGAAAUGCAUAGAUAUCACGCAGAACCCCGAUUGCGAAGGCAGCAUGCCGGCUUCCGACUGACGCUGAAGCACGAAAGCGUGGGGAUCGAACAGGAUUAGAUACCCCUGUAGUC
Molecule: ribosomal RNA, 460 nt
Filed under: uncultured bacterium
Lineage: Bacteria
Description: partial 16S ribosomal RNA
Rfam family: Bacterial small subunit ribosomal RNA
Source: RNAcentral